Molecule: transfer RNA, 62 nt
Filed under: Dipodomys ordii (Ord's kangaroo rat)
Lineage: Eukaryota; Metazoa; Chordata; Mammalia; Rodentia; Heteromyidae
Rfam family: tRNA
About the family: Transfer RNA (tRNA) molecules are approximately 80 nucleotides in length. Their secondary structure includes four short double-helical elements and three loops (D, anti-codon, and T loops).
Source: Rfam by way of RNAcentral
GUGUAGUUUAGUGUUAGAAUGGUUGCCUGGCAUGCAUUAGGCCUUGGGUUCAACCCCAGCAC